Anser brachyrhynchus (Pink-footed goose) is the source of this 2132-nucleotide long non-coding RNA. The record is from Ensembl. Lineage: Eukaryota; Metazoa; Chordata; Aves; Anseriformes; Anatidae.
GCUCCCUGCGGGGUGAGAGCGGCAGGGCCGAGUCGCCGACCCCCUUCCCAAGAAGCUUCCCCCAGCAGCUGCGGGCAGGAGGGAUGCGAAUUUCCCGGUGAAGGGAUUUUUGCCGAGGAUAAUUGUAAGCACUGACCGGCGGCUCAGAAAUGUCAGCCCCUGUCCUGUUGUUUUUUUUUUUUCGCACCCUGCUUCUCCGUCCCGUCCGGGGGCCGCCCCCGGUCCCUCCAGCUGCAGGAUUUUUUCCACCUGGAUUUUCCCCAGAGCUCUCGGGGUGCCGCAGGAACCCGAGGGGGUGCUCUGCCGCCCCAUCCCAUGGCACGGAGGCAUUUGGUGGGGUCGGGCUCCCGCGCUCCCUCGCCCCGCGGAGCUCAGCACCGUGCAGCAUCCCGACCUCCAGCGGGGCGCACGCAGGCGCCCAGCCCUGGGUGUGAAUUUCGCAGCUGGGAAUCCCUCAAUUUCCUUCACGUGGGGCUCGGGCUUUUCCUAAAAACACACAAAUCCCCAUCCCGCUCCUCCUGCUCGCAGCCUCCUGCCCCGAAACCCUCCCGGCGUGCGGGAACGGGGGUCACCCACGGCGGUGCGGGCAGGACGCCGCGGCGGGGCGCCGGGCUCCUUCUCCUCCCUCCCCAAAAAGUUCCUCCCGAAACUCAGCGGCCGAGAUUGAGUCAGCGACGGGCCGUGACAUCAGCUCGUGGUUUCUCCGCCGAGCGGCAGGGCUUCCUGUUGUGCCCCGGCAGCUCGCCGCGCUCGGGCGCCUCAAUAUUUAUAUUUAUUUCUAUACGCGCGCAUAGGCGCGGAGCCGGGGCCGGCAGCGGGGCCGGAGAGCCGUGCGCCGCGGCGAGGCCCCGCCAAGAGGAUGAAAACAUGGGGCUCAAGUUAUCCUGCCUCAAAGGUGGGUCCGGGAGGGUCCUGGGCGCGCAGGGAGGGCUGGGAGGGAGGUCGCGCUGCGAGGAGCUUUGCUGACUCCUAAAGGCAUCGCUGCUGCCAGCGCGGGGCUUGGCCUCUGAAGUGACGCUGCUGCAGCUUGAGCGAGGGGACGCCGGGGGGGGUGGGUUUCCAGCCCUGGAAAAUUCGGGGUACGGUCCUGAGCUCGCUCCCGCUGCCCUGGGCUUGGGGUUUGCUCAGCGGUGGGGCCGCGGGAAGGAUGCUCGGGGUCGGGGUGCUCGGGGCCAGGCUGGGAGCCGGGCUGACCCCAAGCAUCCUUGGGUAGCAGUGCCCGGCACGGGCCAGCUCGCUGCUGCUUUCCGUAGAAAAAUGCUUUUCGUGCUUUUCACCAAACUUCACUUUUCCUAACGGGGGUCGAGCCACCACGGCGCCUGCAGGCGCUCUGGCUCGGCGAGAGGGACGUGGGAGCUGUUGGCGCGCCCAGGCCACUCGUUAGCUCCGAGUGCCACUUGGCAGGGGCUGGGACGUGGGGUUGGGGACGUUGGGGACUUGUGGCACGGCCCGGGGGGGCUGCAGGGACGGCCGGGGGGGCGGUGGCCACCUCGCGUCCCCGCGGCACCGGCACCCGUUGGGGCGCAUCCCCUGCUUGGUCUGGGGAUGGAGCCAAGGGCGGUUUGGGAAGCGGUGGGAACCCGGUUCCGUUGUCACAGCGAGGGUGUCCCCAGCGAUGCUUCACCCCGAAAUGAGCCCUCGGAGCCCUGGAGGAGAGGGGACACAUCACCCAUGGGGUCCCCAUCCAUGGGGUCCCCGUCCUGGUGUCCCCAUCCAUGGGGUCCCCGUCCCUGGUGGAUAAAGUUUUCCCCCAAAAAACCUCCAAUAUUGAUGAAUUUUAAAGAGCUGCCUCCCCCCUCUGUUUUCUGGUCCAUUUAAACCCCCCCCAAAGCAGGAUGGAGCCUCGGCACCCACGUGCCCCCUCCCCAUUUUUGGGGUGCCCGGCCAGGCAGCCUGGUGCAGGGGGCUUGGGGGUCCCAGAGACACCCCCCCCCCAACCCUGGGGCGGCUGCAGAGAGGGGCUGGGGGACACCAAAGCACCCUGAUUUCCCUCCGUCCACCCCAAAACUGGGUCAAAACCGAAUUCGUUUGGGGAACCAAACCAAAUUUGGGUCCCCAAACCAGCCUCGGCUCCGGCAGACAGGCUCGGAGCCCGCAAUAAAACAACGCCCCCCCCCCCCCCCCCCCCCCCC